Long non-coding RNA from Octopus sinensis (East Asian common octopus), 351 nucleotides. RefSeq lists it as uncharacterized. The transcript is spliced from 3 exons. The record is from RefSeq and is a predicted model, not a curated record. NCBI's taxonomy places the organism in Eukaryota, Metazoa, Mollusca, Cephalopoda, Octopoda, Octopodidae.
AUAACUCUAACUUAUCACGUUAUUUCGUGUACCUCAGUGCUGCAUCUACUUUUGCGUGCAGGGAUUUGUGUUUAUGUUUAAACUUUGUGCAUAGGCUUUGUUGACCACUGCUAUCAUGAUGAGUAACAGGCUAUAUAAAAUAUGUUUUGGAAACUUCUACACCCUAACAAGGAUGAAGGCCACUCAAUUAUAUCAACGUUAUUGGCAGAGACACACAAUAUGAAUAUGAAGACUUGUUGAAGAUUGGAACCAGGACUUGUGACCUGCUAGAUUUUUCAACUGAAAUCCAAUAGUGGGGCAGGAUUACCAAAGAAGAGAAGAAAAAGAAAAUAAUAAUAAUAAUAAUAAUAA